This 258-nucleotide ribosomal RNA is filed under the name uncultured microorganism. RNAcentral's name for it is "partial 16S ribosomal RNA". It matches the Rfam family "Archaeal small subunit ribosomal RNA", at positions 330 to 607 of the family's 1478-position model. The record is from RNAcentral.
GCGCAGCAGGCGCGAAAGCGUGACGGGGAACCCAAGUGCCAACACAACGUGUUGGCUUUCUGGAGUGUAAAAGCUCCAGGAAUAAGGGCUGGGUAAGACCGGUGCCAGCCGCCGCGGUAACACCGGCAGCCCGAGUGAUGUCCGCGUUUAUUGGGCUUAAAGCGUCCGUAGCCGGCCUGUUAAGUCCCCGGUCAAAUCCGGCGGCUUAACCGUCGGGUCUAUCGGUGGGAUACGUGGCGAGGCUCGGACGGGCCGGGA